GAUAGAACGCUGGCGGCCGUGGCCGUAACACAUGCAAGUCGAGCGAAGCACCUUACUUGGAUUUCGUUCGGGAAGUGAAAGUAUUGUGACCGAGCGGCGGACGGGUGAGUAACGCGCGGAUAACCUGCCUCAUACAGGGGGAUAACAGUUAGAAAUGACUGCUAAUACCGCAUAAUGUCAUUUAAGGGCAUCCUUGGAUGACCAAAGCUUAAUGUGCUGAAAGAUGGUCUUGCGUCUGAUUAGCUGGUUGGUGAGGUAACGGCUCACCAAGGCGACGAUCAGUAGCCGGUCUGAGAGGAUGAACGGCCACAUUGGGACUGAGAUACGGCCCAG
This 333-nucleotide ribosomal RNA is filed under the name uncultured bacterium. Its description in RNAcentral is "bacterial SSU rRNA". It matches the Rfam family "Bacterial small subunit ribosomal RNA", at positions 31 to 334 of the family's 1533-position model. The record is from RNAcentral.